Molecule: ribosomal RNA, 505 nt
Filed under: uncultured bacterium
Lineage: Bacteria
Description: partial 16S ribosomal RNA
Rfam family: Bacterial small subunit ribosomal RNA
Source: RNAcentral
GACGAACGCUGGCGGCGUGCCUAAUACAUGCAAGUAGGACGCACAGUCUAUACCGUAGCUUGCUACACCAUAGGCUGUGAGUUGCGAACGGGUGAGUAACGCGUAGGUAACCUGCCUAUUAGAGGGGGAUAACUAUUGGAAACGAUAGCUAAUACCGCAUAACAGUAUGUAACACAUGUUAGAUGCUUGAAGGAUGCAAUUGCAUCGCUAGUAGAUGGACCUGCGUUGUAUUAGCUAGUAGGUAGGGUAAUGGCCUACCUAGGCGACGAUACAUAGCCGACCUGAGAGGGUGAUCGGCCACACUGGGACUGAGACACGGCCCAGACUCCUACGGGAGGCAGCAGUAGGGAAUCUUCGGCAAUGGGGGGAACCCUGACCGAGCAACGCCGCGUGAGUGAAGAAGGUUUUCGGAUCGUAAAGCUCUGUUGUUAAGGAAGAACGAGUGUGAGAAUGGAAAGUUCAUACUGUGACGGUACUUAACCAGAAAGGGACGGCUAACUACGUG